This 91-nucleotide transfer RNA is filed under the name Glycomyces mayteni. Its description in RNAcentral is "tRNA-Ser". It matches the Rfam family "tRNA". From Rfam's summary of the family: Transfer RNA (tRNA) molecules are approximately 80 nucleotides in length. Their secondary structure includes four short double-helical elements and three loops (D, anti-codon, and T loops). Further hydrogen bonds mediate the characteristic L-shaped molecular structure. tRNAs have two regions of fundamental functional importance: the anti-codon, which is responsible for specific mRNA codon recognition, and the 3' end, to which the tRNAs corresponding amino acid is attached (by aminoacyl-tRNA synthetases). tRNAs cope with the degeneracy of the genetic code in two manners: having more than one tRNA (with a specific anti-codon) for a particular amino acid; and 'wobble' base-pairing, i.e. permitting non-standard base-pairing at the 3rd anti-codon position. RNAcentral also lists the same sequence under 3 other names. Lineage: Bacteria; Bacillati; Actinomycetota; Actinomycetes; Glycomycetales; Glycomycetaceae. The record is from RNAcentral.
GGUAGCGUGUCCGAGCGGCCGAAGGAGCUCGCCUCGAAAGCGAGUGUCGGGUAACCCCUGACCGUGGGUUCAAAUCCCACCGCUACCGCCA